AGUGAACGCUGGCGGUAGGCCUAACACAUGCAAGUCGAACGGCAGCACAGUAAGAUCUUGCUCUUACGGGUGGCGAGUGGCGGACGGGUGAGGCAUACAUCGGAAUCUACUUUUUCGUGGGGGAUAACGUAGGGAAACUUACGCUAAUACCGCAUACGACCUACGGGUGAAAGUAGGGGAGCUUCGGACCUUGCGCGAUUGAAUGAGCCGAUGUCGGAUUAGCUAGUUGGCGGGGUAAAGGCCCACCAAGGCGACGAUCCGUAGCUGGUCUGAGAGGAUGAUCAGCCACACUGGAACUGAGACACGGUCCAGACUCCUACGGGAGGCAGCAGUGGGGAAUAUUGGACAAUGGGCGAAAGCCUGAUCCAGCCAUGCCGCGUGGGUGAAGAAGGCCUUCGGGUUGUAAAGCCCUUUUGUUGGGAAAGAAAAGCAGCAGGUUAAUACCCCGCUGUUCUGACGGUACCCAAAGAAUAAGCACCGGCUAACUUCGUG
Molecule: ribosomal RNA, 492 nt
Filed under: uncultured bacterium
Lineage: Bacteria
Description: partial 16S ribosomal RNA
Rfam family: Bacterial small subunit ribosomal RNA
Source: RNAcentral